GGCCCCAUCGUCUAGCCCGGUCUAGGACACGUCCUUCUCACGGACGGGACAGGGGUUCAAAUCCCCUUGGGGUCA
RNAcentral lists this transfer RNA (75 nucleotides) under Planctomycetaceae bacterium. Its description in RNAcentral is "tRNA-Glu". It matches the Rfam family "tRNA". From Rfam's summary of the family: Transfer RNA (tRNA) molecules are approximately 80 nucleotides in length. The record is from RNAcentral. RNAcentral also lists the same sequence under 2 other names. Lineage: Bacteria; Pseudomonadati; Planctomycetota; Planctomycetia; Planctomycetales; Planctomycetaceae.